RNAcentral lists this ribosomal RNA (393 nucleotides) under uncultured bacterium. Its description in RNAcentral is "partial 16S ribosomal RNA". It matches the Rfam family "Bacterial small subunit ribosomal RNA", at positions 523 to 918 of the family's 1533-position model. The record is from RNAcentral.
AUACGGAGGAUGCGAGCGUUAUCCGGAUUUAUUGGGUUUAAAGGGUGCGUAGGCUGUGCGUUAAGUCAGGGGUGAAAUGCCGUCGCUCAACGACGGAGCUGCCCUUGAUACUGGCGUGCUGGAGUACGGAUGCCGUUGGAGGAAUGAGUGGUGUAGCGGUGAAAUGCUUAGAUAUCACUCAGAACACCGAUUGCGAAGGCAUCUGACGAAUCCGUCACUGACGCUGAGGCACGAAAGCGUGGGGAUAGAACAGGAUUAGAUACCCUGGUAUUCCACGCCGUAAACGAUGAUGACUAACCGUCGGCGAUAGACAGCCGGUGGCCAAGCGAAAGCGAUAAGUCAUCCACCUGGGGAGUACGUCGGCAACGAUGAAACUCAAAUGAAUUGACGGGU